This 435-nucleotide ribosomal RNA is filed under the name uncultured Flavobacterium sp. RNAcentral describes it as "bacterial SSU rRNA". It matches the Rfam family "Bacterial small subunit ribosomal RNA", at positions 358 to 790 of the family's 1533-position model. The record is from RNAcentral. Lineage: Bacteria; Pseudomonadati; Bacteroidota; Flavobacteriia; Flavobacteriales; Flavobacteriaceae.
GGAAUAUUGGACAAUGGGCGCAAGCCUGAUCCAGCCAUGCCGCGUGCAGGAUGACGGUCCUAUGGAUUGUAAACUGCUUUUGUACAGGAAGAAACCGCUCUACGUGUAGAGCCUUGACGGUACUGUAAGAAUAAGGAUCGGCUAACUCCGUGCCAGCAGCCGCGGUAAUACGGAGGAUCCAAGCGUUAUCCGGAAUCAUUGGGUUUAAAGGGUCCGUAGGCGGUUUAGUAAGUCAGUGGUGAAAGCCCAUCGCUCAACGGUGGAACGGCCAUUGAUACUGCUAAACUUGAAUUAUUAGGAAGUAACUAGAAUAUGUAGUGUAGCGGUGAAAUGCUUAGAGAUUACAUGGAAUACCAAUUGCGAAGGCAGGUUACUACUAAUGGAUUGACGCUGAUGGACGAAAGCGUGGGUAGCGAACAGGAUUAGAUACCCCAG